UCUUGAUGAGUAGCACCCCGCAUACGAAAAAACUCUACCUCAAACAAUCAAAACGAUAAUCGAACUUCUCCAGCAACUGUGACUUUUUAUAAUAACAUAGCUAUUAGGUAAAACUAUCCGAGUCAAAUAAAUACAUUUAAAAUAAAACGAUUAAAACCAAGCCUCCACGUUUAUAUAAAAAGUCACGAAGGUUUCUGGAUGACAGCCAGGAAUGCCAGGUGGUUUUGUUAAAAAUCAGGACACCAUGAAGAAAAAAAUCAGGAUUCAGGACCACCAAUUCUGCUUAAUUUGUAUAAAUGAACACGAAAAAUGGACAAAUCCUGAUUUAUCGGGACACCUGGCACCUCUGAUGAUAGCUGUCAUGACUGCUAGCAGUUUUGAGCAACACAAAAAAGAAGAAGAAAUUGAGGUUGGUGGUAAAACGGAAAUCAACAGCAAUUUCGCACGAAUUUUUGAUGCUGUAGAUCAACAAUUAGUGCGAAAUUGCUGUCUUAUCUCCCGCAAAGGAUCAGGAAGCCGGCGCACCGAAGGCUGGACUCAGUACAGCCCAACAAUUAGGCCAAAAGAUGAAAAUAUUUAAGUGUCGCCGAAAACUGCUUAUUUAUAUGCAGCCCGAGUUCCCCGGCUGUGGGGACUGCCCUCGCUGGUGUAGCUAUGGCCAUGCAGUGUAGAUUUCGGACCGAAUUUGCCAAUAUCUGUGCACACUUGUUUUAACAUAGAUAAGCUACGCGAGUUGAACGUAGAAUUAAUUAUAAAUUUGUAUGCAGAAUGAAAUUAAUGUAAGUAAAAAUAAUAAAAUAAAAUAUAUAGUGAA
Molecule: long non-coding RNA, 814 nt
Organism: Uranotaenia lowii
Lineage: Eukaryota; Metazoa; Arthropoda; Insecta; Diptera; Culicidae
Exons: 3
Source: RefSeq, a predicted model, not a curated record